CUAGAAGAACCUAUUUCAUUUCUUCCAUGUGUCAUCACAUAGUCCUCAGAGCUACAUGUCAUCACAUAGUCCUCAGAGCUACAACAAAAUGGCACCAAGAUACUCUUUUAAGACUUGUGAUGACACAUGGAAGAAAUGAGAAAGGUUCGUAUAGAGGGUAUUGUUGAAGAUCAACACCAGCCCAAUUGGUGUUUGGAUUCUAGAAAAGUCUAGCAAAUAGAAGCAGCAAGCUUGGAAGGCAGAAGCUUCUAGAGGACUUG
RNAcentral lists this long non-coding RNA (260 nucleotides) under Malus domestica (apple). RNAcentral describes it as "long non-coding RNA (MDOM_LNC003538)". Lineage: Eukaryota; Viridiplantae; Streptophyta; Magnoliopsida; Rosales; Rosaceae. The record is from RNAcentral.